AGAGAGACAUUACUCCACAACCUCUGUCUACAAGGCCCAGUUCCUUGGCUUGGUCUUCUCGCCCAUGGAGAAAAUGAUCUAAAGGGUUUGGGUGCCACCGAAGGCCAAGUUCUUCGUGUGGCUCGCUAUCCAAGAUCAUAUUUGGAUUGCUGAUAGGCUGGAGAAAAGGGGUUGGCCAAAUUAUGGACAUUGCAUCCUUUGCAAGCGUGAGCAAGAAAGUUGACCACAUCUAUUUUUUAAAUGUCGUUACAAGUUCAGGCUUUGGAGAUUGGUCUGGAAGAAAUAUAGGCUCCAUCACCUUGACACCUCGACAUGGCGUCUCGAGAAUUCAGUGUUCAACUGGUGGGUUGGUAGGACCGGCUCACGGGUCCCCCAAUAGAAAGGUAAUGGCUUUCUUCGUCAUGCCUCUUUCAUGGACGAUGUGAAAUGAGAGAAAUGCUCGGGUCUUCCGACAAGCGCUCCACCGCUCGUCCUUUUAAACACCAUUGAUCAAGAGGCAAACAUGUGGAUCUCCGUAGAGGCAAAGAAACGAGGCAUCAUUUUUACGCGCGAGUAAUCCCGCAUGUCGUGUAUAAGUGUGCCGUUUAUAACAAACAAUUCUCCUCUCUUAAUUAAUACUAGUUUAGUGCCCGUGCGUUGUCACGGGACGACAAACUGAUGUUGUUUAUCAUCAUUAUUGAUCUCCGCAGUUGACUCAACCUCGCUAGUUGUCUCACCACCAUCAUUGAACGCUUGAUCUACCCUUGCUCCCCUCAUCAAUAGCUCAAGAGAGGAUCGUCAUCCUCCCAUAGCCCUAACAACCUCUGCGGGACAUAGUAUCAUAUAUUCAUAUUUAACAUGCAAAAUAAAAGGCUAGAUAGACAUACAUCUAGAAUAUGCAAAAUAACAUUUUCUUAAUCUAGCCAAGAAAUUUGAUAGCCCUGAUAGAUCGUGUAAAUACCUCCGUUCUUAUGCUAAAAUAUACACCAAUAUAUAGAAACAAAAAUUAUAAAGUUGCAGGAUAAAAAGCAAUCCUACAACCGUGAACACUCUCAGUCUCACUUUCUCCUCAGUGCUCACCCCUCCCCCCUUUCAGCUAGCCACCCCCCAUGCUUCCCCAUGCAGCCGCCGACGCGUCAUGACGCGCAUUAGAACGGCGUGUGAGGCACCCAUCACGGCCCAACUUUCCACAAUGCGCCUUUGAACCCUUCCUCCUAGCUACGCAGUUGUGAGGUGAGAUCGAGGGGGAGGGGGUAUAGUGCUCCGUUGGACGCGCGCGCAGUCUGGACGAUGUCAUCCACCGCGCGGCGGCCCGGCCCCAUGACCCCGCCGCAACAGCGCCACGCCGGUCUGAAUCUUUUGUGGCAACACCCAGUGCGCGUCGUGUCCAGGAGACCCUUCCACAAACCAUGUUCGCUGGGAUGGGCGGGGAUCGACCAGGAGUGGAUGGCGUGGUGCACCACAAUGCCGACGACUUCUCUUCGCCAUCUAGCUCUGCUCCCCUCCCUCUGCUCACGAUCAACAUGCCCAUGGAUCUUAUUGAUGUUUAAGAACGUGUUAGAAUGUAAGGAUACCGACAUGCUAAAUAUUAUCAUAGAGCUACAAAAAAAAGCAGCUCAACAGAUAAUGUUCCUUUAGUUCAUAUCAAAGUAUUUAUUGUCUUGAAAGACUCAUCCUUUCAUAGUAGAGAUAUGAGGAGCUCACUAAAGGCAAACUCAACCCCGAAUUUGGGUUCUUCAUAAGUUAUUUGAUACAUAGUUCCUUAUCCAUGUACUUCUAAUGAGUGAUUAUAUGGAACUAAAGUCUAAGUAAGUUUUCUUAAAGCUAUAUUAUGAUAUUACAUGCCUCAUGUUUUUACCAUAUUAAAAAGCACAUGCCGUAGAAAGAAAUACAACCCCUUAGUAUUUUUGUUCUUCUUUAGCAAGUCACUGUCCAAGCAUCUUCCUCCUGCAUCUGUUUCAAAUUUCACGUCGUCUUUCCUUAGAAUUUAUUUGUUAGUAUGCUAUUUUCCAUAACUUUCAUUUGCAUCUUUUUCUUUCGCAAGGAAACUUUCAGGGGUACCCACCAUUCAACACGCAUAUUUUUUACAAAACAAAUAGCAUGUAAUUCAAUGACUAAAAUCAUCAUUCUAAAUUAUGCACCAACCAGCUGCAAUAAAGAGUUUUAAAAACCUAAUGCAUCCGAGAUUUGCUUAUACUAUUCUAAACUAAUGGUUAGUAUAAACAGAGGCAAAGCUUUUGCAUUUUUCCACAUGAACCAUAAAAACAUUUUUUUACCACAUUUGACGUUACUACAUCACAUAAUCGAUUUUUUUAAGUAUCAUAUUCAACAAGCAUAACUUCCAAAAGUGAACUCAAACUGUAUGGUUAAAAAUGACCACUAAUAACUUCCACAUCACAUGGAAAUGAAUCAACUCAUUUUUUUAGAUUUGACAUAUCGUGAUGGGAGAUCUUGGAAUAUUAUGUGCAUAUUUUGAGGUUAUGUUCCAUGAGAAAGAGAUGGGAUAGAUAACAGAACUAAGCAAUCAACUAAUGAAUUAUUCCGAUUGUUUUAUGGAGAGUUUAAGAAGAUUACCUCCUGCUUAAAUAAACCGUUUGACUAACAAAAUCAUGUCAUGUGUGAAAUUUAUUGCACCAAGCACAAAUAUUCUAUGAUGAAUCAGACACCAAACAUUUAUUUGAUUAGGGGCUAACUCUAGAAAUGUCAGCGCAUGAGUACAUGACUACAUAUGCCAAUACUGAAGAAAUGAGCUCUUGUAACAUUACUUGUUGAGUAUGACCAAUUUUGCAUGUGUUCUCCACGACUCAAUGGUCACCACGCCGGACAGCGACCCAUCAAUGACCCUCACAUUGACAUCUAUCUGUAGCCAAUCAACAUGGUGGGUAGAGGUUAGUGGCAUCAACUAAACUAAUGGUCAGAUCGCAGGAGCUAGCAGAAUCGUCAGUUACCUUGGUGGGAGCACAUGGGUGGAUCGAUCGAGGUCGAACCAUCACGACGACGCUUCAUGGGUGAAAAAAAUUAAUCGUCUAUUUCUACGUGGAGGUGAAUACACUUCACAACCACAGAAACUUAUAAAGGCUUAAAAUAGACUAUGACCACAACCAUACAAACGGAAAACAAGCUAUAUUUUGCAACCCAUUUCCCCAGGGGUUGCAUGUCGGAUAGGCUAAUUGUUAGAACCAAGGUUGAUCCAUCAUUAACGAAAGCCUCCAUAAAUGGUCAAAUUCUGUAAAAAAUCAAAUAAACUAUAUCCAGAGG
RNAcentral lists this long non-coding RNA (3237 nucleotides) under Hordeum vulgare. Its description in RNAcentral is "long non-coding RNA (HVUL_LNC007010)". Lineage: Eukaryota; Viridiplantae; Streptophyta; Magnoliopsida; Poales; Poaceae. The record is from RNAcentral.